Molecule: transfer RNA, 86 nt
Filed under: Leptolyngbya sp. PCC 7375
Lineage: Bacteria; Bacillati; Cyanobacteriota; Cyanophyceae; Leptolyngbyales; Leptolyngbyaceae
Description: tRNA-Leu
Rfam family: tRNA
About the family: Transfer RNA (tRNA) molecules are approximately 80 nucleotides in length.
Source: RNAcentral
GCGGAUGUGGCGGAAUUGGUAGACGCGCUAGGUUUAGGUUCUAGUGUCUUCGUGACGUGAAGGUUCAAGUCCUUUCAUCCGCAUCA